UUUGAGAAAUGUGUAAUGUUUGAUCUAUACAGUUUAUUCAGGUUAUUCAAUUGCAUGGUUGUAAACAUGAUUUAUAUUUGUACACGGAAAAGUUGGGUUUUUGGAGAUACUUGUUUUUCAUUGGACAGCGGCGAUAUAGGGGUACCUAAUAAAAUGCUUGAUCAUGGAAAGCCAGAGAGCAAACACAGGUGUUUUGGAGUCAGCGGGCGCUGUUAGGGACAACAGCAAACACGAGCAGCAAUGCCUGACCCCGAGAUAGCAGUGUUUACUCCAAUUCCUUGUUCAAACCCACAUUUCAAGUCAGGCUGCAUUGCAAACAGCCGCUAUUCACACUGUAUGUCUGACUUUAGAAAGAACGAGCAAAGAGGGGGAGGAAGGAGAGGAAAAAGGAAAUUAGCCCUAAGCAAGCGCGGGCAUGCUAACACUUUUGAGGAGCCAGCAGUGGAUAGUGAAGUGCGAGGGGAAAAGCAAACUCAUUAAAGUUGUUCAGGCCCUCACUUUCCAAAACAAAACAAAUUUAUUUUUCUCAAGUGGAGCUAGUAAACUGACCUCUUCUCACAAAGGAAGUGGACUUAAUGGUUGAAGCUUAAUGGCUGAAGGAAAUGGGAAUUUGUAAGCACCAUGCUAUUGUGGUGAAAAACCCAAGUGAGCCCUGACCAGAAAUAUCCAUGAUUGUACUGAUGUGUGU
Trichomycterus rosablanca is the source of this 688-nucleotide long non-coding RNA. RefSeq lists it as uncharacterized. The record is from RefSeq and is a predicted model, not a curated record. The transcript has 3 exons. Lineage: Eukaryota; Metazoa; Chordata; Actinopteri; Siluriformes; Trichomycteridae.